This 83-nucleotide antisense RNA is filed under the name Salmonella enterica. Its description in RNAcentral is "partial antisense sRNA RprA". It matches the Rfam family "RprA RNA", at positions 1 to 83 of the family's 108-position model. From Rfam's summary of the family: Translational regulation of the stationary phase sigma factor RpoS is mediated by the formation of a double-stranded RNA stem-loop structure in the upstream region of the rpoS messenger RNA, occluding the translation initiation site. Clones carrying rprA (RpoS regulator RNA A) increased the translation of RpoS. Lineage: Bacteria; Pseudomonadati; Pseudomonadota; Gammaproteobacteria; Enterobacterales; Enterobacteriaceae. The record is from RNAcentral.
ACGGUUAUAAAUCAACACAUUGAUUUAUAAGCAUGGAAAUCCCCUGAGUGAAACAACGAAUUGCUGUGUGUAGUCUUUGCCCG